Molecule: long non-coding RNA, 3286 nt
Organism: Paramisgurnus dabryanus
Lineage: Eukaryota; Metazoa; Chordata; Actinopteri; Cypriniformes; Cobitidae
Source: RefSeq, a predicted model, not a curated record
GUGAAACUCAGUUCACAAACUUGCCGGUCAUCAUGUGUGAUUACAUUGUGAUGCAUUUGUACGGUGAUGCUGUGAUCGUGUCUGUUGUGAUAUUGUGCUUUAUAUACAUCAGUUGUAAGUAUUUUAUCAAUAUGUCAGUGUUGUAUGAUAUUUGCAUGUGUAAAUUAUCUUAAAAUACCACAGGGAGCACCAUGAAACUUUGAUAUAUGUUAACAGAUUAGAGUUCCCUUGUAAUUCAUCUACAGUUUAAUAAGUUUAAUUAAUUAAUUAAUUAUCAAUAUUUAUACUUUACUAUACUAUUUUUCUACAUGUCUACAAUAAUAAUAAUAAUAAUAAUGAAACAAUUGCACAAAGGCUUCAGAAUAUCUUGUUUUGAUUAUAAAACGAUCUUAUCUACACCUUCUGAAAACAGUACAACAGCUGUCAGUGGCGUGGUACACUUUUGAAACAGUACACUCUUGUAAAGACUGAUAUUAGUACCUCAAAUGUACAUAUUGGUACCUGUCAUGAACUCUGUCUGUGUCUCCCCUGUCAUGUCUCUUAUUUUGAAGUUCUGUUUGUGUCUGCCAUGUUUUGUAGUUCUGUGUAGUUCUUUUGGCUGUUUCUCAAUUCUAAGAAUGCAAAGAACAGACUUGCGUUCUCGUGGAAGGUCGCGAGAAAACAGAACGCACUUGUGAGAAUUGAGGGCUGUUUCUCAAUAUGCGUUCUUCAGCGAUCUUGCGUUCUAGUGUCCUUGCUCUACGUCAUCAUUAACAGUCGAAGUUCAUUCCAAUUCUCAAGAACGCUAGUACAGAGGACGCAUGAAAAUACCCGGAUGUGUUCUUGAUAUCGAGGAUGCAUCGAAUGCAGACGUGCGCGCUGAAAUCGCUUCACGCCCCAUAAGUCAUUGCGGCAAAACAAUGGCGGAGGUCAGGUGACCAACAGGAAGAUCGCACACAUCUCAAUUCUCAUAAGUGCUUUCUUUGUUCUCGCAACCUUCUGAGUUCGUUCUUCGUUCAUCAGUAGACUUUACUGUCAGCACGUUUACAUGCAAACCAAUAAUGCAAUUAUAAUGGGAUUUUGUCAAUACUGCGAUUAUACUUUACCUCAUGUAAAUGCAAUAAUUCGAUAAAAAUAAUGCGAUUAAGCUCAUAAUCGCAGUAAGUAUAAUCGCAUUAAAAGAGGUGGCGUACGCCGUUUAUAAUCGCAGUAUGCGUCCAUGUAAAUGCUUUAAUCGCAUUUAUACCGCACUAACUGAAGUGCGCAUGUGUUUUAGUCACGGACCUUAACUCUUUCCCUGCCAUUGACGAGAUAUAUUGUCAAUCAAGAGAAAACGCUUCCCCGCCAAUGACGAGUAUUUCCAUUUUUCCGCAAUACCGCAACUUUUUAAACCCAGAUAAUGAAAUACAUCCAUAACAACGUGUUUGUCAUUUAACGUAAGUAAAUUAAAACAGUGGACCAUGUAUGUGAGUUCAUCAUUUGUGCUCUGCAUUGGGCUAUGUGUGAAUAAUCUGAAAAUAAAAACUGCAUGUAAACCGGAGUGAAGAGGUUAGCUCCAGUCAUGUAAACAUCUUACUGCGAUUAAGUCCUUACUCGCAUUAUUGGAAAUAAUCGCAUUAUUGGUGUGCAUGUAAACGAGCUGACUCACUAGAUAGGGAAUAGUCAAGCGGUGAAUGGUUUCAGAUACCACACAAGUUACGUCCAUCUGUGUGAUGAUGCAUAAGGAAGUGGCAACACAUUUGUGGUCCCAAAUGGACAAAAGCUCUCAUCUGCAAACCACAUGAUGAAAGGUUUUUGGUGGUAGCAUUUGUGCAACACUUUCUUACAGAUCAGUUCAUUAUAAAAGGGUUUGAACGAGAAUCUGUGCCAUACCAAGACCUGUAGGAGUGAAGGUAAGAUCAAUAUUUUAUUUCUCAGUACCGACUGCAUGAAUAAUCUGACAUCACAAUAAUCUUUAUGAGUAUAAUGAGUAUUUCAUCAUCAAGGAGCUCCGGUAUGUGUCAUAAAUUUACUCAUUUCAGACCUAAUACAGACUGCAUUAUCCUUGUUUAUUUCAAUGUAAGUGUAUAUUUUGCUAUGAUUCCUUUAGGUGUGUCUCAUUUGGCUUCUCUGUAUUCCAUGACAUGUAUUGCUGUAGAAAGAUAUCUUCUGAUUGCUCAUCCCAUUUGGUACAGACAUCGUCACCCAGUCAAAUGUCUCGUCUGUACUUCUCUGACUGUCUGGUUGCCAUCAGGCAUUUUAUUAUUGCUUUGUGCUUGGUGGUGGAUAAACAUGGGUUUUAUCAUAGCCCUCUCUUACUAUCUAGUGAUAGUUUUGUGUUUCGUAGGUGCAUGCAGGGCUCUUUUUCAUUCACAGUCGAUCACUUCUCUAAAGAGGCGAUUGGUUGUGGUGACUCUGCUAUUUGUACUGCUCAUUUGCACGUUUACCAUCCUUCCCUUUGUAAUUACGAUGCUGCUUCAAAUGCUUGUUUUUAAUUUUCAGUUACAAACAAGAUUACAUUUAUUGUUUACAUGUUCAACCCGAUUGUGGAUUGUUUGUUGUAUGUGUUCAUGAGGUCUGAUGCCGGAGAUGCUUUCAGGACGCCUCACUGCUGUUCCAGACGGAGAGAAAUUCAAAGUGAAACUCAGCUUACAAUAUUAACCGGUGGACACAGUCAUCAUGUGUGAUUACGACUGUAUAAAAGAUGGACGUAGUGUCCGUGACGUCACCCAUUGGUUUCUGAAGAUCAUUUUUUAAGAAGUACCGGAACGCAUGCAAGAAAAAGAAAAGAGGAACACGUGAGAACAAGAAGUUCAUGAAGAUAAAACGAAGAGCAAUCACAUUCUCAAGUCUGCCAACUAUAUCAGAAGUCAAGAACAUCUUCAUCAGUUCAUCCACUUGUUCUACAUUUUAAAAAGUCACCUGCAAUGGAAACUGAGGAAAAUUUGACCACAACUCUUUAUGAAAACACUUCGAUUUCAAACGAUUACACACCUGAUGAGUCUAUAAACAAAGCAUUUAAUGUCUACCUAUGGAUCAUCUUAAGCAUUGAAACUCCUCUCCUCUGUUUGGCCAUUUACACAGUUUUCUUUCUCACCAAAUCCGGUCAAGGAGCUCCAGUAUUUGUCAUAAAUUUACUCAUUUCAGACCUCAUACAGACUGUUAGCUUUGUCAUUGCUUAUUUUUAUUUAUAUAUAUAUGUUUCUAUGGUUCCUGUAGGUGUGUCUUUUUUGGCUUCUCUGUACUUUAUGACAUGUAUUGCUGUAGAAAGAUAUCUUCUGAUUGCCCAUCCGAUUUGGUACAGACAUCGUCACCCAGUCAAAUGUCU